AACCUUACCUACCCUUGACAUGGUCGGAAUCCUGAAGAGAUUUGGGAGUGCUCGAAAGAGAACCGGCGCACAGGUGCUGCAUGGCUGUCGUCAGCUCGUGUCGUGAGAUGUUGGGUUAAGUCCCGCAACGAGCGCAACCCUUGUCAUUAGUUGCUACGAAAGGGCACUCUAAUGAGACUGCCGGUGACAAACCGGAGGAAGGUGGGGAUGACGUCAAGUCCUCAUGGCCCUUAUGGGUAGGGCUUCACACGUCAUACAAUGGUACAUCCUUGAGGGCCGCCAACCCGCGAGGGGGAGCUAAUCCCAGAAACCAUCUAUCCGGAUUGUAGUCUGCAACUCGACUACAUGAAGUUGGAAUCGCUAGUAAUCGCGGAUCAGC
RNAcentral lists this ribosomal RNA (379 nucleotides) under Herbaspirillum sp. FER14. Its description in RNAcentral is "bacterial SSU rRNA". It matches the Rfam family "Bacterial small subunit ribosomal RNA", at positions 967 to 1353 of the family's 1533-position model. The record is from RNAcentral. Lineage: Bacteria; Pseudomonadati; Pseudomonadota; Betaproteobacteria; Burkholderiales; Oxalobacteraceae.